UUAUCGACGUCAUGACGUAUUGGUGGGUGGGUCUUAUCGCUCCCUCAGGAAAGCUGAGUCAGCCAUCUUGAAUUUGCCUUGAUGCAGGUGAAGUUUUGGCAAGCCCAUGUGGAUGUGGAACACAGUUUAAUUUGUUUUUAAUUGUUUAUAUCUGUUUGGAAUGCGUACUUUUAUCCCCCCGCUUCAAACCACCACCACCUCAGUUAUUUUCAUUAGUCUUAUUGCUCUCAUUUUCUUAAGCGCUGUCUUAUCAUCAGCCCUGAUUUGGCUCAAGUGUGUGGUUGUGAGAUCUUCUCGAAAUAAUUUUAACAGUUCAGAUAUCGGACUACAAAGAGUGCUACAGAGAGUCAAUGUUCCACUAUCAGACAGGUGCCAAUAGGAACCAAAAGAUGGCUGCUGCCCAGAAGCAUGUGCUGCGUGUGUAUGUUGCACGAGACACCGCCCUGAAGCUUACUCUACUCGAGCGACCAAAGUCAGUGGAGGAGCUGAAAGAAAUAAUACAAGAGAGGUUCAAGCCGAGACUGGAUGGGGACUUUAGCCUGCACUAUGAGGAUCCGGACUUUGAUGGUGAUCUUUGUCUUCUUGUGGACAUCCAGGAGUUACCAGAGAAGGGCACAUUGAGAGUCAUCAGGCCUGAAGGUGACACCUCAUCUACUGCAUCUUCUGACACAUACUUACUCCCAUGUGUAUCUGCGUUACAGCGCCAAAAGAGUUGGCCUGAUCACUUUGUUGUUCCUGGUUUUGAUUAUGGAAUGUAGCAUAUACUAGAAGAAGGAAAUCGUGUUUAUGAAGAAUCAGGAAAAUUGCUGAAGUUAAAGAGGUCACAGAAGAGUGAAAUCCUUAAAAAAAUGGCAGAAAUGAUCUACAGUUUUAAACCAUACCCACAUGAAAAGGAAUUGGCAAUUGCUGCUAAAGCUUUGAUUACAGCUCAUCCAUGUCUCAGAAUGACGGCUGGUGAAGACGCAGAGUUGGGAUGAAAACGUCACAUAGGGUACAAGGUUGCGUCUUACCGUAACAAUCUGGCCAAAGUUGGGGUUGCAGAAGUAGCCAUCAACACAGGGAGGCGGAGCCGAAACAACCCCAACAAUGAUCACCCCCAUCAAAAUAUAAAGAAAGCUCGAAAAGCUGAGGUCAACUACAUCAUCAACCUACCAAAGGAUCAAACCCCAGCCACUCUGGAAACAAUGAGAGAAGAAAUCAUACAUUAAGUCGAAAAGACUGAGAGAAACCAUUUAGUCAUAGGCAAGCUCAUGAACACAACCUAUGCCCUUCGUCGCCAAGAAAUCGUUGGAGCUCUUGUAGCUCCACGGGUGAGAGACGUCGUGGAUAGAUGGCCAGCCCUACUUAUGGAGUCACAGGUGUUUGCAGAGUUCCACCGAAUCAACAAUGUUAACCUGCGCAAUCAAUUCUACAAGGAGCUGGACAGACACACGCAAG
This is a long non-coding RNA of Carassius auratus (goldfish), 1437 nucleotides long. RefSeq lists it as uncharacterized. Lineage: Eukaryota; Metazoa; Chordata; Actinopteri; Cypriniformes; Cyprinidae. The record is from RefSeq and is a predicted model, not a curated record. The transcript is spliced from 5 exons.